RNAcentral lists this long non-coding RNA (206 nucleotides) under Elaeis guineensis (African oil palm). RNAcentral describes it as "long non-coding RNA (EGUI_LNC052494)". Lineage: Eukaryota; Viridiplantae; Streptophyta; Magnoliopsida; Arecales; Arecaceae. The record is from RNAcentral.
GCACCAUUGGUUUGGAGGCAUAAGCAUUAUGAGAAGUGUGGCACAUAUUUGCCAUGUGAGAAUCCCUACAAUGUGAAACAACCUUUUGAAUCAGGUUUGAGCCAUUACAACCUAUAUCACAAGAAAGAAUUAGAUAUAGUACAAUCAUUGAUUAUUUUAUUACUAACGAUUAGAAUCAUCUAAUUACAACCUAAACUCUACCCCAC